AUUCCCUUAGUAACGGCGAGUGAACAGGGAAAAGCCCAGCACCGAAGCCUGCGGUAAUUUUACUGUUAGGCAUUGUGGUGUUUGGGUCGGCUCGUGGGAUUGCCGCUCCACUCGAAGUCCAGCAUUGAGUAUGGUUUCUGGAUUUGGCCCAUAGAGGGUGAAAGGCCCGUGCGGGUGGAGUUUCAGACAUGAUUGGCAAUUCACCAGGCCGGCCUUAGAGUCGGGUUGUUUGGGAAUGCAGCCCAAAGUGGGUGGUAAACUCCAUCCAAGGCUAAAUACUAGCACGAGUCCGAUAGCGAACAAGUACCGUGAGGGAAAGUUGAAAAGUACUUUGAAGAGAGAGUAAACAGUACGUGAAACCGCAUGAAGGUAAACGGGUGGCGUCAAGCUGCAAGCCCAGAGGAUUCAGUCGGUCAGGAUGUUGUGUAUGUGCCUAGCGCAUCUAUCAGUCGAUUAUAGUUGAAUAGUCUGUUUGGUUAAAACAGGCCUGGUCGCAAGGCUAGGAUUUGCAGUCCGUUUGGUUGGCGGAGCAAGCUAUUCGAUUGUGGACUGUCUGGCCGAUGCACUUUCUCUGUGGUGAACACCACGACCGGUGGUACUGUCGGUCUGCUUUGGUCAAGUCCUUGUUAAUUGACACUUGUUGUUAGUUAGCCUGGAUCACAUGCAAUUUCAGUGCACGGUGUUCAGAUGCUUCGGUAUUUGAGCAUGUUAUCGGAUGCUGGUUGUAAACGGAUUAUGUUGUAAGAUUGUAAAACUUGCAAUAUAGUCUGGUGGACCUUAGUGGUAAGAAUAACCGUACAGCGCACUGGUGUUAUCGGUCUCUAAAUCUAAUUAAUGCCCACAUUACAAGUGGUUAAUGCUGGUGUUGUCCUAAUUUGCCUAUGCUUCGAUCUGAUUGUCGUGUCGCCUGCACAAAGUAGGCCCGACUUUGGUCUGGUGUAGGAUCAAGUUGGUGGCAGUAUUGGUUGUAUUGAUUAGUGUGGACCUAAUAGUCUGUGGUGUAGUGGUAGACGAGCUACCCGACCCGUCUUGAAACACGGACCAAGGAGUUUAACAUGCGCGCAAGUCAAAGGGCUUUACGAAACCCUACGGCGCAGUGAAAGUGAAGCCUCGUCUUGUCUCGGGGUGUGGUGAGAUCCUGCUGUUACUCGCAUCGUCUUGUGUGCUAGCACUAGGCAAAGAGCAGUAGGCGCAUCACCGGCCCGUCCCAUGAUGUGGCCGUCAGCUUCGGUUGGCGCGUCA
RNAcentral lists this ribosomal RNA (1242 nucleotides) under Halysioncum bonasum. Its description in RNAcentral is "partial 28S ribosomal RNA". It matches the Rfam family "Eukaryotic large subunit ribosomal RNA", at positions 74 to 799 of the family's 3401-position model. Lineage: Eukaryota; Metazoa; Platyhelminthes; Cestoda; Diphyllidea; Echinobothriidae. The record is from RNAcentral.